GGGGAAUAUUGCACAAUGGGGGAAACCCUGAUGCAGCGAUGCCGCGUGGAGGAAGAAGGUUUUCGGAUUGUAAACUCCUGUUGAAGAGGACGAUAAUGACGGUACUCUUUUAGAAAGCUCCGGCUAACUACGUGCCAGCAGCCGCGGUAAUACGUAGGGAGCGAGCGUUGUCCGGAAUUACUGGGUGUAAAGGGAGCGUAGGCGGGAUGGCAAGUCAGAUGUGAAAUCUAUGGGCUCAACCCAUAAACUGCAUUUGAAACUGUAGAGCUUGAGUGAAGUAGAGGCAGGCGGAAUUCCCCGUGUAGCGGUGAAAUGCGUAGAGAUGGGGAGGAACACCAGUGGCGAAGGCGGCCUGCUGGGCUUUAACUGACGCUGAGGCACGAAAGCGUGGGUAGCAAACAGGAUUAGAUACCCUGGUAGUCCACGCUGUAAACGAUGAUUACUAGGUGUGGGGGGUCUGACCCCUUCCGUGCCGGAGUUAACACAAUAAGUAAUCCACCUGGGGAGUACGGCCGCAAGGUUGAAACUCAAAGGAAUUGACGGGGGCCCGCACAAGCAGUGGAGUAUGUGGUUUAAUUCGAAGCAACGCGAAGAACCUUACCAGGUCUUGACAUCCAACUAACGAAGUAGAGAUACAUUAGGUGCCCUUCGGGGAAAGUUGAGACAGGUGGUGCAUGGUUGUCGUCAGCUCGUGUCGUGAGAUGUUGGGUUAAGUCCCGCAACGAGCGCAACCCUUGCUAUUAGUUGCUACGCAAGAGCACUCUAAUAGGACUGCCGUUGACAAAACGGAGGAAGGUGGGGACGACGUCAAAUCAUCAUGCCCCUUAUGACCUGGGCUACACACGUACUACAAUGGAUGUUAACAGAGGGAAGCAAGACAGCGAUGUGGAGCAAACCCCUAAAAACAUUCUCAGUUCAGAUUGCAGGCUGCAACCCGCCUGCAUGAAGAUGGAAUUGCUAGUAAUCGCGGAUCAGCAUGCCGCGGUGAAUACGUUCCCG
This 999-nucleotide ribosomal RNA is filed under the name uncultured bacterium. Its description in RNAcentral is "bacterial SSU rRNA". It matches the Rfam family "Bacterial small subunit ribosomal RNA", at positions 356 to 1376 of the family's 1533-position model. RNAcentral also lists the same sequence under 1 other name. The record is from RNAcentral.